GGCAUUCGGAGCUUCGACCCCGAGAACAAGAACGUCAUCACCUUCUUCAGACCCUUAACCCUAAUCGUUGGCCCCAACGGUGCUGGAAAAACCACAAUCAUCGAGUGCUUGAAGCUUUCUUGCACCGGCGAGUUGCCUCCUAAUGCAAGGUCUGGUCACAGCUUCAUUCAUGACCCCAAGGUUGCUGGUGAAACUGAAACGAAGGGCCAGAUUAAGCUCCGAUUUAAGACAGCAGCGGGCAAAGACGUGGUUUGCAUAAGGUCCUUUCAGCUCACGCAAAAGGCGUCGAA
This is a long non-coding RNA of Arachis stenosperma, 290 nucleotides long. RefSeq lists it as uncharacterized. The transcript has 3 exons. Lineage: Eukaryota; Viridiplantae; Streptophyta; Magnoliopsida; Fabales; Fabaceae. The record is from RefSeq and is a predicted model, not a curated record.